AGCACGGAAGAGUAAUGUGUUGACGUUUGAAAUAUACACACAUACAACUUAUUUUGGAAAUUAGAGUAUUGAACCUUGAGAUUUUCUCUUUUAAUGAUCAAACAACAAAAGCAAAACUGUGGUAUUUAUAUGAAAAAUGUUUUAAAAAAAUCAGAGAAAUACCUUAUCAAUGGGUUAGUGAGUUCUUUGGGUAUGGAUUUGGUUUUGCCCGAAACCCGAUUUUUUUAAUGGAUUUUUCAUUUUGAAAUUCAUACCCACUCGAUGACCCGAACCGACN
This 277-nucleotide long non-coding RNA is filed under the name Trifolium pratense (red clover). RNAcentral's name for it is "long non-coding RNA (TPRA_LNC009732)". Lineage: Eukaryota; Viridiplantae; Streptophyta; Magnoliopsida; Fabales; Fabaceae. The record is from RNAcentral.